RNAcentral lists this non-coding RNA (626 nucleotides) under Pongo abelii (Sumatran orangutan). Lineage: Eukaryota; Metazoa; Chordata; Mammalia; Primates; Hominidae. The record is from RNAcentral.
GCGACCGGGGGCUGCCUGGGCAAGGGCGGGGCGAGAGCGCAGAACGCCUGCUCUCGGACAGGGUGUUCUUAAAAUAAACCGGAAAGAACGGAGGUAAAAAUACUGGAGUGUUUCCUCCACACUGGAAAGGAGAGGGCAGCGCUGUGAACAAUGGAACCAUCAAAAAGGCCUUCUCCCAGCCGCCUCACCAACCACGGACAUUCCUGGCCCAACAAGCCCUCCUGGCCUGGUUUUGAGCCCUGCUUCCCAGAUCUGGGGACCCUUCACCUGCCUCUACUACUGCAAAUGAUUGGAUAUUCGUCUGCCUUGGCUCUUCCCUAAUGUGUGGAACUAAUUUUGUUCACUCUGUUUCAUGCUGGACCUGGCCUGAAAAUGGGCCCUUACAUUGUCUUUGCACUUUCCAACUUGCCAAGUUUCUGAAAGAAGGACCAAAGUAAUGCCAAGAACUCCCAGAUGAAGAGGACCUUCCUUAGACCUAUAACAGAUUCACUACUUGACUUCAGAGGGACGUUUCAGCUAAUUCUCAGGAAAAGGUCAAAACAGGCCUGUGACUGUCCCUCGAAUACUGAAGGUAUAAACAAGCUUCUGGCUCCUCCAGGUCAAGCAGAGGAACACUUUUAUUAGAA